RNAcentral lists this ribosomal RNA (446 nucleotides) under uncultured bacterium. RNAcentral's name for it is "partial 16S ribosomal RNA". It matches the Rfam family "Bacterial small subunit ribosomal RNA", at positions 338 to 795 of the family's 1533-position model. The record is from RNAcentral.
CCUACGGGAGGCUGCAGUCAAGAAUCAUUCACACUGGGGGAAACCCUGAUGGUGCGACGCCGCGUGGGGGAAUGAAGGUCUUCGGAUUGUCAACCCCUGUCAUGUGGGAGCAAAUUAAAAAGAUAGUACCACAAGAGGAAGAGACUGCUAACUCUGUGCCAGCAGCCGCGGUAAUACAGCGGUGUCAAGCGUUGUUCGGAUUCACGGGGCGUAAAGCGUGCGGAGGCUGGUUCGUAAGGCUGGUGUGAAAGGCGCGGGUGCAACCCGCGGAGUGCACAUGAUACUGCGAGACUAGAGUAAUGGAGGGGGAAGCGGAAUUCUCGGUGUAGCAGUGAAAUGCGUAGAUAUCGAGAGGAACACUCGUGGCGAAGGCGGGUUCCUGGACAUUAACUGACGCUGAGGCACGAAGGCGAGGGGAGCGAAAGGGAUUAGAUACCCGAGUAGUC